This is a non-coding RNA of Acanthosepion pharaonis, 97 nucleotides long. Lineage: Eukaryota; Metazoa; Mollusca; Cephalopoda; Sepiida; Sepiidae. The record is from the annotation of a GenBank genome assembly.
GUUGAAAUCCCGGUUCUCGUCCGUUCACCGAAGUUAAACAACGUUGAGCAUGGUCAGCAUUAGACGGGUGACCAUUCGGGAAUGCGAGGUGUUGCCA